RNAcentral lists this ribosomal RNA (468 nucleotides) under uncultured bacterium. Its description in RNAcentral is "partial 16S ribosomal RNA". It matches the Rfam family "Bacterial small subunit ribosomal RNA", at positions 28 to 507 of the family's 1533-position model. The record is from RNAcentral.
GACGAACGCUGGCGGCGUGCUUAACACAUGCCAGUCGAACGGAAAGGCCCUGCUUUUGUGGGGUGCUCGAGUGGCGAACGGGUGAGUAACACGUGAGUAACCUGCCCUUGACUUUGGGAUAACUUCAGGAAACUGGGGCUAAUACCGGAUAGGAGCUCCUGCUGCAUGGUGGGGGUUGGAAAGUUUCGGCGGUUGGGGAUGGACUCGCGGCUUAUCAGCUUGUUGGUGGGGUAGUGGCUUACCAAGGCUUUGACGGGUAGCCGGCCUGAGAGGGUGACCGGCCACAUUGGGACUGAGAUGCGGCACAGACUCCUACGGGAGGCAGCAGUGGGGAAUAUUGCACAAUGGGCGGAAGCCUGAUGCAGCAACGCCGCGUGCGGGAUGACGGCCUUCGGGUUGUAAACCGCUUUCGCCUGUGACGAAGCGUGAGUGACGGUAAUGGGUAAAGAAGCACCGGCUAACUACGUG